Molecule: ribosomal RNA, 579 nt
Filed under: uncultured bacterium
Lineage: Bacteria
Description: bacterial SSU rRNA
Rfam family: Bacterial small subunit ribosomal RNA
Source: RNAcentral
UGGCGGACGGGUGAGUAACACGUGAGCAACCUGCCUAUCAGAGGGGGAUAACGAUUGGAAACGAUCGCUAAUACCGCAUGACAUAGCGGAAUCGCAUGGUUCUGUUAUCAAAGAUUUUAUCGCUGAUAGAUGGGCUCGCGUCCGAUUAGAUAGUUGGUGGGGUAACGGCCUACCAAGUCGACGAUCGGUAGCCGGACUGAGAGGUCGAACGGCCACAUUGGGACUGAGACACGGCCCAGACUCCUACGGGAGGCAGCAGUGGGGGAUAUUGCACAAUGGGGGAAACCCUGAUGCAGCGACGCCGCGUGAGGGAAGACGGUCCUCUGGAUUGUAAACCUCUGUCUUCGGGGACGAAACGAGACGGUACCCGAGGAGGAAGCCACGGCUAACUACGUGCCAGCAGCCGCGGUAAUACGUAGGUGGCAAGCGUUGUCCGGAAUUACUGGGUGUAAAGGGAGCGUAGGCGGGCAGGCAAGUCAGGCGUGAAAUAUAUCGGCUCAACCGGUAACGGCGCUUGAACUGCAGGUCUUGAGUGAAGUAGAGGUUGGCGGAAUUCCUAGUGUAGCGGUGAAAUGCGUA